Molecule: ribosomal RNA, 468 nt
Filed under: uncultured bacterium
Lineage: Bacteria
Description: partial 16S ribosomal RNA
Rfam family: Bacterial small subunit ribosomal RNA
Source: RNAcentral
GACGAACGCUGGCGGCGUGCUUAAUACAUGCAAGUCGAACGGUGAAAGAAGAGCUUUCUCUUCUGGAGCAGUGGCGAAAGCGUGAGUAUCACGUGUGUAACCUCCGCCUUACUCCGGGAUAAGCGCUGUGAACACCGUUUAUUACCCGACAUGAGACCUAUCUGCAUGGGUUCUGUGUGUAAAGUGUUUCGGUCUGGGAUGGACUCGAGGUCUAUCAGCUUGUUGGUGAGGUAACGGCUCACCAAGGCACCGACGGGUAGCCAGCCUGAGAGGGCGACAGGCCACACUGGGACUGAGAAACGGGCCAGACUGCAACGGGAGGCAGCGGUGGGAAAUAGUGCAAACUGGGCGAAAGCAGGAUACAGCGACGCCGCGUGAGGGAAGACGGCCUGCAGGUUAGAAACCUCUUUCGGCAGGAAAGAAGAGAAAGUGACGGUACCUGCAGAAGAAGCACCGGCUAACUACGUG